UGGGGAAUAUUGCACAAUGGGCGCAAGCCUGAUGCAGCCAUGCCGCGUGUAUGAAGAAGGCCUUCGGGUUGUAAAGUACUUUCAGCGGGGAGGAAGGUGUUGUGGUUAAUAACCACAGCAAUUGACGUUACCCACAGAAGAAGCACCGGCUAACUCCGUGCCAGCAGCCGCGGUAAUACGGAGGGUGCAAGCGUUAAUCGGAAUUACUGGGCGUAAAGCGCACGCAGGCGGUCUGUCAAGUCGGAUGUGAAAUCCCCGGGCUCAACCUGGGAACUGCAUCCGAAACUGGCAGGCUUGAGUCUUGUAGAGGGGGGUAGAAUUCCAGGUGUAGCGGUGAAAUGCGUAGAGAUCUGGAGGAAUACCGGUGGCGAAGGCGGCCCCCUGGACAAAGACUGACGCUCAGGUGCGAAAGCGUGGGGAGCAAACA
RNAcentral lists this ribosomal RNA (427 nucleotides) under uncultured bacterium. Its description in RNAcentral is "partial 16S ribosomal RNA". It matches the Rfam family "Bacterial small subunit ribosomal RNA", at positions 355 to 774 of the family's 1533-position model. The record is from RNAcentral.